AACUUCUGUCAUGCCCCAGUCGGGCGUGGAAAAAUACCACCAGGAGGGUUCAGCUCCAGAGCAAGUGUUCUCAGCUGAUCACCAAAGCAGAUGAUCACCCAAAACACAGGAAACCACCACGGGCUGUCAUCGCUACAGGACAGCAAGCCAACUGGCUGCACAGAACCCAUGACGGCUGUGGUACCACAUGACUCUCGCCACAGUGUGUAUUGUUGAAUCCUCUCGGACUGUUGGUUAUCUGAUUUACGUUCCUGAGAGACUGGUGCUAGGAGAUCUGGCAUCGCUUCCCAUUCAAAGAGCUGCCCCACUGAAGCAGCAUACAUCGGGGAGGGUGCGACUUUGCUGAUACCCUGGAGUUGGGGACUCCCCUCCGGGUCCGCAGAAAGCCUUCCCCCAGCUGCAAGGAGAUGGGCUCUGCGCGCACCUGAUUUCUUCUCCCUUGAGAAGGUUUCCUGACAGCUUCUUAGCAAUCACAGACCUUUCUGACUCUUUCUAAAUCAACACUGUAAAGACACUUUCUCCAGAAAUAAGGUUGAGUUCAGAAGGGCUAGAGACAUGUGGGAAGGUUAUGUGAAUCCUAAAGCCGAAUGCUUUUCCCAUUUUAGAAGGCUACUUUCUCAUUUUAUGGUUACUGCUUCCCUGUUAGUUCCUCUUAAAAACAAUUAUUUUUUUUCUUUUUUAAAUAGUGUUCCCUCUGGAAAAUCUUAGAAUGAGGUGGGGGUAAGACUCUAUGACCACCUGGUUAGGGUUGAAUCACACCUGAUGUACAAUUAUACACUCUGCCCCACCCCUGAGGGGCUGGGACAUGAAACAGAGACUGCCCAUUUACUUGACUUGCUGUGCAAACAUGGGCAGCAGUAUCUUUCCAGGCCCUGGUUUCUCACUUGAAAGUAGGGAAGAAUGAGAGUAUUUACCUGAUGAUAUUUAGGAAUGGCACAUACUAAGCAUUUUAUGAGUAUUUUUUAUUGUUGUUGUUAUAAUAACAAUUAUUAUUAGACUUAGUGAGCACCCUGAAUAGGAACAUUAGGUCUAAUUCUCCAGGGUGUAGUCCCCAGAACAUAAUAGGUGCUCAAUAAAUAUUGAGUGGGAGGUUGAAUGACUGAAUAAAUGGAAAACUAUUUAAAUGAGGAAGCAGCAGUAGUAGAAUAAGAAUUCAACCCAUGGUCCCACUGAGUGUAGGUUGGGACCUUCCUAGAUCUUUCUGGAUAGAUAUUCACUGAUGUUUGUAUGUCCAGUGCAAAAGGAAUAUGUGUAAAUAGAAACAGGGGACAAUGGUGAGACUCCAUGUUUUUGUUUAAAUGUUUAUGUAUUUAUUUCUUUGAUGGGGGAUGGGGAGGAAGAGGGAGAGAGAGAAUCUCAAGCAGACUCUGUGCUGAUCAGAGAGAACACAGGGCUUGAUCUCAACACCCCAAGAUCAUGACCUGAGCCAAAACCAAGAGUUGGGCCCUUAAUCAACUGAGCCACCCAGACACCUUGUGAGACUCCAUGUUUUAUAUCUGUUGAUGUAGGUAUUGUAAACAUGUAUUGAUUUGUACAUCUGAUGCAGAAAAAGCCGUGAUGUCUGCCAGCCGCAGAGAGACAUGGCAGCUACUGGAGAGUCUGGAGACAUAUCGGAGAUCCCAGGAACCCUGACGGGGAUUUUGGAAGCCACAGCUACUGAGAGCUACAGGUGCUAUAAUGGAAGCUACUGCUACUGGUCAUGUUGCCACCAGAAAAUCUGCCUCAGAAAGAAGUUGAAAACCACUGAGGACCAGGGAAGAAACUGCUGAGGUAUACUUUCACUGGGAAAGCCUUGCCAAGAGCCACCAUGGACCCCACCAUCAGGAGCCACAUACCCGGUGACAGGUAGAUAGAACUCCCGCAUAAGAAAAGGAGGAGGCAAGUAAUGCCAUACAGUAAUGAUGCUUGGAUGCGGGCUGCCAGGGCCUCGGAGGGCCAAAGGCUGAGCUUUUCAAAGAAAGAGAGUCUGAAGAUGUGAACAGUGUGUGCCAAGAUCACGCUAAGUGAGUUUUGCUGCCCCCCCGACCCCGAAGUCGGUGGUGUGUGAGCUCUGCAAACACAAUCAGCUCCCAUUUGCCUGGAACCAGGCUGGUAUUUUUGUGCUCCUCUGCAGACGGGGACGAAUGGUACUACUGCAUCUGGCUAAUGGAUCCAAAAACCAACAGUGUAACAUCAAGUACUUCACGUGCGAAGAUGAUGCAAAGUACUGUCCGAAAGUACAAAGGUACUAAGCAAGCUCCCCGCCCUCGAAGAGCUAACCAGAUUGUUGACGAAACAGACCUACUAAAAAUAAAAGAUGGAAUUAAACAAUCCCAUCAGAUAGGUGUUAAGGACUGGUAUCCACUAAAAGGACAGAAGGAUUUACAGGAAGGAAAACCCAAUGGGGUGCUUGGAGGGUUUUGUAGCAAGCUGGGGUUUUGGCCAGAGCUUGCAGACUGGGUUGAGUCUGGGUCAGUGGAGAGGAAGAAGAAGAGCAGGGGUGUGUGGGAGCCAGCUCACACGGUCUCGUGAGAGCUGCUGGUUACCUUUUUUAGGAAUACCGUCAGACAGCCAUUAAAUGCAACCAUGACUAAAAAUUAAAUUAUAAAAAUCUUAAAAUUAAAUAAAUUAUACCUUAUAAAUGUAUAUUUAUAUUAUUUAGUACUAUAAUGGAUAAUAUAGUAUCAAUACAUAAUUGAACAUUAUCUAAAUAAACACUCAGAACUCACUGCUUCCUCAUUACUUUACUGCAUUUUACUGUAAUUUAUGCUGCUCAGGAUAUUAACAUCUAUGGUAUCUAUAUGGUGGAUAUGCUAUGUAAUCAUACACAGCAUUACUAUAUACUAUAUACAUAAUAUAUAUAUUUUAAUAUAAUAUAAUGUAGCUACUGCAUAGCUCUUCCAAAUUUCUUUCAUGCUGGGAGCAUUUACAUAGCAGAAAUCUGCAAAUGCUAAGAAUCAGGGUUUGAUUUAUUGCUUUGUUGGUUGUUUAGACUAAGAAAGUAAUGGAAAAAUCUUAAUAACACAGAUUCAACUUUUAAAGAUACCAUGUUGUGGGGGCGGUGGUGCCUGGCUGGCUCAGUCAGAAGAGCAAGAGACUCUAGAUCUUGGGGUUGUGAGUUUGAGCCCCACCUUGGGUGUAGAGAUUACUUAAAAAUAAAUCUUAAAAACAAAAAAUUAUGUCGGUAUUUGUUGCAUCGUGAAUGACACCAAAGACUUGAAGAAAUCUUCCAGCAUUUGAAAAUUGUUAUGUGAUUCAGCAAAGUCCCUCACACCAUUGAUGAUCAAAACAUUCUAAAAUACCUAUUUAUGGGGGCACCUGGGUGGCUCAGUGGGUUAAGCCGCUGCCUUCAGCUCAGGUCAUGAUUCCAGGGUCCUGGGAUCGAGCCCCACAUCGGGCUUUCUGCUCAGCAGGGAGCCUGCUUUCCUUCCUCUCUCUGGCAGCCUCUCUGCCUACUUGUGAUCUCUGUCUGCCAAAUAAAUAAAUAAAAUCUUUUUUUAAAAAUACCUUUUAUGUAAAAAAAAAUAUGUCAACCAAUACAGCAGAACUGCAGUGAGAAAGCCAGUUAUGAAACAUUUACACACCACUGGAGGAAGGCCACAUCAUAAAGAAGUAACAGCAUGUAUAAAACAGCAGAAGCUGAAACAUUCAUAGCAAACGGGAUAGAUAAUGUGGUGUGAUAGGAAUAAUGUGAGCUAUAGUCCCGGGUUCAAAUCCCAGUUCUGCUGUUUAUUAACUAGGUGAAUUUAGAGGGGCUGCAAAACAUGAAUGAGCCUAAGUGUUGUCACAAGUAAGAUGAUAAAGCCAACCAUAUCAUGCUGUUACAAGAAUUCGGAAGAAUAUAGUUUUAAAUGCCUCAGAUAGUGCCUGGGGGUGCCUGGCUGUCUCCGUCAGCUGAGCGUCUGUCUGGCUCAGGUCAUGAUUCCAAGCGUCCUGGGAUCAAGCCUCUCAAUGGGAUCCUGCUCAGCAGCAAGUAUGCCUUCUCCCUCUCCUUCUGCCCCACCCUCGCUUGUGUGUGUGCUCUCUUUGUCUCUCUCUCAAAUAAAUAAAUAAAACCUUCACGCCAGUCAGAAUGGCCAAAAUUAACUAGUCAGGAAACGAUGGGUGUUGGUGAGGAUGCGGAAAAAGGGGAACCCUCCUACACUGUCGGUGGGAAUGCAAGCUGGUGCAGCCACUCUGGAAAACAGCAUGGAGGUUCCUCAAAAGUUGAAAAUAGAGCUACCCUACAACCCAGCAAUCGCACUACUGCACAUUUACCCUAAAGAUACAAAUGUAGUGAUCCGAAGGGGCACGUGUGCCUGAAUGUUUAUAGCAGCAAUGUCCACAAUAGCCAAACUAUGGAGAGAACCUAGAUGUCCAUCAACAGAUGAAUAAAUAAAGAAGAUGUGGUACAGAUAUACAAUGGACUACUAUGCAGCCAUCAAAAGAAAUGAAUUCUUGUCAUUUGCAAUGAUGUGGAUGGAACUAGAGGAUAUUACGCUGAGCAAAAUAAGUCAAUCAGAGGAAGACAAUUAUCAUAUGAUCUCUCUGAUAUGAGGAAUUUGA
Mustela lutreola (European mink) is the source of this 4524-nucleotide long non-coding RNA. RefSeq lists it as uncharacterized. NCBI's taxonomy places the organism in Eukaryota, Metazoa, Chordata, Mammalia, Carnivora, Mustelidae. The transcript has 3 exons. The record is from RefSeq and is a predicted model, not a curated record.